This 253-nucleotide ribosomal RNA is filed under the name uncultured bacterium. RNAcentral's name for it is "partial 16S ribosomal RNA". It matches the Rfam family "Bacterial small subunit ribosomal RNA", at positions 524 to 776 of the family's 1533-position model. The record is from RNAcentral.
UACGGAGGGUGCGAGCGUUAAUCGGAAUCACUGGGCGUAAAGCGCGCGUAGGCGGUGCGCUAAGUCAGCUGUGAAAGCCCCGGGCUCAACCUGGGAAUGGCAGUUGAUACUGGCGCGCUGGAGUGUGAUAGAGGGUGGUGGAAUUCCCGGUGUAGCGGUGAAAUGCGUAGAGAUCGGGAGGAACACCAAUGGCGAAGGCAGCCACCUGGGUCAACACUGACGCUGAGGUGCGAAAGCGUGGGGAGCAAACAGG